This 254-nucleotide ribosomal RNA is filed under the name uncultured bacterium. RNAcentral's name for it is "partial 16S ribosomal RNA". It matches the Rfam family "Bacterial small subunit ribosomal RNA", at positions 524 to 776 of the family's 1533-position model. The record is from RNAcentral.
UACGGAGAACUCAAGCGUUACCCGGAAUCACUGGGCGUAAAGCGUUGCGUAGGCGGAUUUGUAAGUCGGAUCUUAAAAGCCGGGGCUCAACCUCGGAAUUGGAUACGAUACUGCAAGACUAGAGGAUGGUAGAGGUGAGCGGAAUUGCUGGUGUAGGAGUGAAAUCCGUAGAUAUCAGCAGGAACACCAAUGGCGAAGGCAACUCACUGGGCCAUUCCUGACGCUAAGGCACGAAAGCGUGGGGAGCGAACCGG